GUGAACGCUGGCGGUGGGCCUAACACAUGCAAGUCGAACGGCAGCACAGUAAGAGCUUGCUCUUACGGGUGGCGAGUGGCGGACGGGUGAGGAAUACAUCGGAAUCUACUUUUUCGUGGGGGAUAACGUAGGGAAACUUACGUUAAUACCGCAUACGACCUACGGGUGAAAGCAGGGGAUCUUCGGACCUUGCGCGAUUGAAUGAGCCGAUGUCGGAUUAGCUAGUUGGCGGGGUAAAGGCCCACCAAGGCGACGAUCCGUAGCUGGUCUGAGAGGAUGAUCAGCCACACUGGAACUGAGACACGGUCCAGACUCCUACGGGAGGCAGCAGUGGGGAAUAUUGGACAAUGGGCGCAAGCCUGAUCCAGCCAUACCGCGUGGGUGAAGAAGGCCUUCGGGUUGUAAAGCCCUUUUGUUGGGAAAGAAAAGCAGCAGGUUAAUACCCCGCUGUUCUGACGGUACCCAAAGAAUAAGCACCGGCUAACUUCGUG
Molecule: ribosomal RNA, 491 nt
Filed under: uncultured bacterium
Lineage: Bacteria
Description: partial 16S ribosomal RNA
Rfam family: Bacterial small subunit ribosomal RNA
Source: RNAcentral